AUUCACCUAUUUUUUUUUAGGUUGAGGAUAUGAAUAUAUAUUUAGACAUUCUCAAAGACUGUUUCUUAUCAAGUUUUAGAUAAAUUUUUGUAAGAAAUAUUGAAGUGUUAGUUUUUGCAUUAUGAUUACAGUCAAACCUAAACAUUUUUUACUUUUUAUGCUCUUGACACAGAGCUCCUGCAAAAAAAAAAAAAAAAAAAAAAAAAAAGCUCAGAACGACGCGAAGGAACAAGCCUGUACUUCCAAGUGCACAGCUCAUAAGUGUGUGUGUAUAAUGUGUGUGUGUGUGUGUGUGCUCUUGUUUUCAUGAAAAAUGAGGACAUUUUUAUGAUAACACACCUGCAAUAUGAGGACACUCGGAAAAAUGAGGACAUUUUGGGGGUCCUCAUUUUUCCAUGCUCACUAAACAGUUGUAGAUGCUCCUAGAAUGCCUCUAAACCAAAAACCUCCAAUGUCCUGAAACAUCACAAUUUUAUGACAUGAAGUGUGUAAGUGUGUUUAUGUUUUUUGCUCAUUUGCGGAUACGCCAACUAGUGGUCAGAUCUGGAACUUUAACACACUUUUAACACACAUUGAUGACGCACUCAACGGGUCCUCAUAUAUAACGUUUUCAUAACCAAAAUAUUUAUCAGUUCUUUAUUUAUGACUUGUUAAUUUGUUGAAAGAUAUGUGAUAUCUAUCCUGUGAAGCGUUUUUGUUGUAUGCUGAUGAUUGUUGUAUGAGAGUCAUUGGUUUCAAUAAUAAAAAAUAAAAAACGUUUUCAUACACACCAACUUUUUAAGCUAGUUUAGAAUUAGCCUACUGUAAUUCACACAUUCCACGUAAUCAGAGUAAAAUAAUAACAUCAAUUUACUAUUGCUGAUUAAGUAUCCUGUUUACUUUGUAGAGAAUCAGUUCCUCAAUUAAUUGAAAUUAAUCAGCUGGAUAAGAUAAUGUUAGCUUAUUAAACAAAGAGGAGAACAUCAUUAAUAGGUGGGCCUGGGAAUAUCUGGACAUGCAUAUUAAUUAAAAUAAAUGUAAUUAAUUAAUAUUAAGAACUUCCUUUCAGAAACAGCAUAAUCAUGCCACGGUGGGCCAGCAUAAAAACACGGUCCGGAUCUACCACAUAAGGUGGAGUCUCUCCUGGUCUUUGAGUUGAAAACCUUGAUUAUGUCAUAAUCUAUCAAUAAACUAUCAAUAAUGUUUAAUAUAUAAUUGGGAGUCUAAAUGGCCAAAUGACCAGCCAAAUAACAGCAGUAAGUGGCGCUUUCCUCCCGUCGUCCGGUUGUCUGUUUGGACAAGUGAAGUGCGGCCUGCAUGCUAUGUGCCGGCUUUUCCCACAUUCCCAGAGCCACCGAACGUCUCACAACCGUCUUACCGCUGCUGCUGCAGACUUCUCCUCAGGCAUGACCUGGUAAGUGGUAAGUAAUUACUUUUCUUCAUUUUCAACCACAACGACAGUUAUUCUUUGAGUAUAUGUUAAAUUUGACCGCUCUUUAACAGAACUUUGUGCUUUGUAUUACACUGUUGUAGCUGCCUUUGCACAGUGUUAGCAUCAAUCAAUUUGCCCAAUUAGCUAAAGUUAAUGACAUGCAUUGGUGAGAAAAUGAGUAACGUUAAGUUAAAGUUACAUUUAUUUCUAUAGGCAGAGUAAUACCAUGUAUACAUCCUAUUUUAUUCAAGUAUGGGUCUUUUUUGGUACUUGUUUUGCUGACUUUUUGUCUUUAAUAUCUAUGUAGAUCUUUGCUAAUUGAGGAGCACAUGGUCAAAGAGCAUGUCAAAAAGGAGAACCAGACUUAGCCCUGAGGCUGAGGCUAUUCAGUUUAUUUUAUCUGGAGGUGAAAAACCUUGUUUUAAGGUCGAGUGGAUCAGUGAUUUUAAAGGAAGUGGUGUAUUUACCUGCACACCAAUUGAAAAGGGAUCGUUUGUCGUUGAGUACCGUGGGGAGUUAAUAUCACAAUAUGAACAGGACAAGAGGCAGAAGAAGUACACAGAAAAACAAAAUGCUUUCUUGUUUGAUUUUGAAUUGAACAAUGUCACAUGGUGCAUAGAUGCGUCCCGUGAAGAUGGCUCACUGGGAAGGCUGGUGAAUGAUUGCCACAAGUCACCAAAUUGUAAAAUGAAAAGGUUGACAGUCCAGGGUAAACCUCAUCUUUGCUUAUUCGCAAUUGAAAACAUCCAAGCAGAAACUGAAAUAACCUACGAUUAUGGAGAUUCUCAAUGGCCAUGGCGUAAUCUGACACCAAGUGGCAUGAUCCAGUCUCAACCUUCAGGAGACCCAGAAGUGAGCGAGAGAUCCAGUUCGAACUUCCAACAGGUUAC
This is a long non-coding RNA of Ctenopharyngodon idella (grass carp), 2301 nucleotides long. RefSeq lists it as uncharacterized. The transcript is spliced from 4 exons. The record is from RefSeq and is a predicted model, not a curated record. NCBI's taxonomy places the organism in Eukaryota, Metazoa, Chordata, Actinopteri, Cypriniformes, Xenocyprididae.